This 496-nucleotide ribosomal RNA is filed under the name uncultured Desulfobulbus sp. Its description in RNAcentral is "bacterial SSU rRNA". It matches the Rfam family "Bacterial small subunit ribosomal RNA", at positions 891 to 1382 of the family's 1533-position model. Lineage: Bacteria; Pseudomonadati; Thermodesulfobacteriota; Desulfobulbia; Desulfobulbales; Desulfobulbaceae. The record is from RNAcentral.
GCUCAGAAACUUAAAGGAAGUUGACGGGGCCCGCACAAGCGGUGGAGUAUGUGGUUUAAUUCGAUGCAACGCGAAGAACCUUACCUGGUCUUGACAUCCCGGAGACCCUUAGGAAACUAGGGGUGCUUCCAUCUGGAAGAAUCUGGAGACAGGUGCUGCAUGGCUGUCGUCAGCUCGUGUCGUGAGAUGUUGGGUUAAGUCCCGCAACGAGCGCAACCCUUGCCUUUAGUUGCCAGCAGUUCGGCUGGGCACUCUAAAGGGACUGCCGGUGUUAAACCGGAGGAAGGUGGGGAUGACGUCAAGUCCUCAUGGCCUUUAUGACCAGGGCUACACACGUACUACAAUGGCCGAUACAAAGGGCAGCGACACUGCGAGGUGAAGCCAAUCCCGUAAAAUCGGUCUCAGUCCGGAUUGGAGUCUGCAACUCGACUCCAUGAAGUUGGAAUCGCUAGUAAUCGUGGAUCAGCAUGCCACGGUGAAUACGUUCCCGGGCCUU